UAUCUAGUGGCACUGCGAUGCAGUGCCUUAGACCACUGCGCCUUAGACCACUGCACCACUCGGGAGACAAAUGCUACAAAUGCUACUGUCCCUCAUGGUACGUUUCGACCAGAAGCGGUGCCUCCGCUUUGCAGCUCUUCACUCCAAAAGAUUGACCGCUUCGUGGGCAUAGGCAUGAACCUAUUCAAAUAUGGAGAGCUGUGAAAGCCUGUCUGCAGAAGAAGAGUUCCCCGUGAAUGUCCCAAGAGACUGCUGGCACAUCCUUGUAUGCCA
This is a long non-coding RNA of Coregonus clupeaformis (lake whitefish), 273 nucleotides long. RefSeq lists it as uncharacterized. The record is from RefSeq and is a predicted model, not a curated record. The transcript has 3 exons. Lineage: Eukaryota; Metazoa; Chordata; Actinopteri; Salmoniformes; Salmonidae.